This is a long non-coding RNA of Peromyscus leucopus (white-footed mouse), 2321 nucleotides long. RefSeq lists it as uncharacterized. The transcript has 3 exons. The record is from RefSeq and is a predicted model, not a curated record. Lineage: Eukaryota; Metazoa; Chordata; Mammalia; Rodentia; Cricetidae.
GAGGGGAGAGGCGGCCGCACAGCCUGCUUCCUCGCGCCCUGCUCGCCGCCGCCGCUGCCCUCGCCUUGCCGAGCGCACCCGCCCGGGUACACGCACCCCGCCGCCGGGCGCCACCCCGCGCACUCCUCCCGCCGCUCCGCCGGGCAGAUGCGCCGCCGCGCGCCCCGCGCCCCGGGCCCGCCACAGAGCUCCGACGCGCACCGGGGGCUCCUCUCCCAGGCCCCCCUGGGUGCCCUCCGGCUAGGGCUCCCGCCCGCUCCUUGGAAUAACCCCUGAGGCUCCAGCCGUCGCCGCAAAGUUUCCCGAGGAGACCCGCCUCCCCCGGCCGCUGCGCAGGUGAAGAAGCUGUGAGCAGGUGAGAAGGCCUCCCUCGUGACAGCCGUGAAGCAGGAAUAACCCAUCCUCCUGCCUCACCCAUUCCAGAAACUUCUCUACAAACAGAAGCAGCCAAGCAGACCAGCCCCUGCCCCCCCAAGUGGCUUCCCAAAGCGGGGCACGCAGGCCUGACAGCUCAGCAGUGCGAGGAGGCGGCGGGCGAGGCGGCUACGGCCUGUGGUGAACAUCGGAACUCCUCCAGGGGUAGCAGACCCACCCCCACAGAUGCGGCCUGAGUGGCAGGAAUACGGAUGCUUUGGAGAGUGGCUGGCUCCCUCUCAGCUCUGUCACGCAAGAGUGCUCUCUGCACUGAGCCAUUCUGCCAAGUGACUUAAAGGGAUUUUAAAAAGAAAGAAAGAAAGAAAGAAAAAAAACCCUGGUAAAGAAAGAGGGGGUAACAGCCCCACAGAGGCAUUUCAGAAGAGGUGCGGCCUGUGGACAAAGGACCAGAGUUACAAAGAGCUGCGGUGGAAGUGGUGGCCGGUGAAAGGCCACACUCCCCGGGGACCGACAUUGAGCUGUAGGGCAUGCCCUGCUCAGGCGUCCCCGGGGGUGCACACAGAACACACACCCCUCACUCCAGAGAGCCAAGUCAGCAGCAGUGCCCGAGGCCUCGGGUGCCAGAGAUGCCGCUUGGGGCCCGCAGCCACCUCUGAGGCCUCGCCGCGGGACGACGUCACGACCUCCUUACUCUCUGCGUGCCUCGAGCCGCCCAGAGCUGCAGGCUGUGGUUGAGUGCCUCUGGGUCUGUUGGUGACGUGGGGCCAGGGAUGUGAGCGUGGCCCUGAAUUCUGAAGCAGUGACCCCCGUGGGACCCAGUGGCUCCAGGGAGCAGCAGAGGAGGAAUUAAGUCUCAGUGGAGGCAGCUUUACUCCAAAGGGACCCAGGCGGCAGUACCAGGUGGAGGACCGUUUCAUUAGGAGAUGCUGAGAGAGAAAGAAGCAAAAUUACAUGUGUCUCCUUUCAUCCCCCUCCCCCUUCCUGGCCCUGCAUAGUUUAAUAUCGAAUACUGCUAUCAAUAUAAUUAACCUCCUAAGACACAAUUUGAAAGUCUUGUUUUUUAAAGCGAUUCACUUUCUCUGAAGCCACGGAGGACAUCCUGCUGCCCGGCCCCACCCAGCGGCCCACGCGCUUAGGUGAACUCAAAGUUCAUUUCUGGUGGAUUUGCAUACCUGUCUGCAAUUACUGCCAGUGAUAACGGCUGAUACAUAAUGCAUGCGGCAUGAAAUUAGAAAAAUAAUUAACUUUAGAUUUGAAAAGAGUCCCCGCCCCCCCAACUCUCCAGGCAUUACAAAUGCUGAGUGCUAACACUGGACAAGGACUGGGGGACUAAGCUGUUUGGGGUGAUGGGUGGGACUGGUUGGCACCCCACAGAAUGCUAGAGAGUCGGGGUGUGCAGAAGGUGCUCCCAUGGCGUGUGCUGGAACAAGCUUCCAGUUCCUGGGCCUCAUCUGUAACUUACCAGGGAAAUAAUGUGGCUGAUGAAGUGACCCACCUCCCUCUGUGACCAAGGAGUGCUCCGCCAAGCUGAAAGUAGCCUAUUUUAUCCUCACAAGACCCCAAGGAAGUAGACUUGGUCCCAUUUCCCAGACGAAGCCUUAAAGCCUGAAGCUACCACUCUACAUAGGCCGAGACUGAGAGAAGAAGGCAAGUCUUCUAAGGAGAGAGGCUGCCUGUAGAUCCACCUGCCUCUGCCUCCCGAAUGCUGGGAUUACAGGUGUGCGCCACCACUGCCUGACAUUUGUUUCUAAUGGGAGCUGAGACCAUGCCUGAUACUCAGCAUCAGGAUGUUACUCACCCCCUCUAGGGAGCUGUCUUCACUGACAAACAAAAAGAGGAGCUUGGCUAGGAGCAGGGGUGGUCUGCCCAGUCUUCCAGCCUGCCUUCCUUUAAGAAUGUGCCCAGUCAGCUCAGUCCCUACCCCUUUGCCCGUGUCCCCUCAAAGG